AUCAUUUAAAUUCAGAUAUUUAAUUAUACUCAAAAUUCACAUUAAUUUAGAUAUAUUCAGAUUUUAGAAGCCCCUUAAAUUCGCAAACUCCUAUAAAAAUUAAUGAGGCUCAGCCGCACGAACCUAAGCCUAUGAGAGGAGUUCGUUUCUUGAAACCUCUUGUUGGCUAGUAAACUCACGUGUAGGGGACACACUUACCACCCCUAGUCAGAAGAGGCUUCUGCUACGUGACAGUGUGCGGGCUUGAGCCAAAUUAAAUAUGUUAACGUUAAUUGGUUAAAUGAAUUUUAAAAAAUCUUCAAAUUAAGGUGACGAUUUAUAUU
This 323-nucleotide long non-coding RNA is filed under the name Citrus x clementina. Its description in RNAcentral is "Citrus clementina (C. clementina) long non-coding RNA (CCLE_LNC002502)". The record is from RNAcentral. Lineage: Eukaryota; Viridiplantae; Streptophyta; Magnoliopsida; Sapindales; Rutaceae.